GCCGGCUGAAUGGAUUCGAAAACGGUAAAACUCAACUGUUUAACUCUAGGGGAGUUGGAAAAUGAGUCUAUUUUCAAAAAUAGUGGAGUGUUCCUUUAAGCUAAAGGUCAUGUUAUUGACAGUGAAGUGUUAUGCUUACACAGGCCUUCCGCCUGAAAUCCUGGCGCUAUGGAAACAGGCUGCGGUCCUGAGGCCCAUCCCACCGUCCCGGCAGCGCAGGGAGGUUCCUGUAGCUGAGGAAAUACCAGAGAGAGAGCAGGAGAGACCAGAACCAGGACAGAGAGAGGAGGAGAGAGAGCUUAGCUCAAAAGAGAUUCCCAGAGAAAUGUUGGAGUCUGGCCUCUUCCAGCAAGAAACGCCGGCCUCUCUGGUGGUUUUGGAGACGACAGACAAGGAUUUCUCUCCACUGGAGACUCCUGAAAUGAGACGGUGAGAGGAGAGAUGCUAAAAGAGAGACAGAAAUAGCUGUCGCU
RNAcentral lists this long non-coding RNA (473 nucleotides) under Sinocyclocheilus anshuiensis. RNAcentral describes it as "lncRNA (ENSSANG00000027139.1)". Lineage: Eukaryota; Metazoa; Chordata; Actinopteri; Cypriniformes; Cyprinidae. The record is from RNAcentral.